ACGGAAGGCAGCAGUGGGGAAUAUUGCACAAUGGGGGAAACCCUGAUGCAGCGACGCCGCGUGAGUGAAGAAGUUAUUCGUAAUGUAAAGCUCUAUCAGCAGGGAAGAAAAUGACGGUACCUGACUAAGAAGCCCCGGCUAACUACGUGCCAGCAGCCGCGGUAAUACGUAGGGGGCAAGCGUUAUCCGGAUUUACUGGGUGUAAAGGGAGCGUAGACGGUCUAGCAAGUCUGAUGUGAAAGGCAGGGACUCAACUCCUGGACUGCAUUGGAAACUGUUAGUCUUGAGUGUCGGAGAGGUAAGCGGAAUUCCUAGUGUAGCGGUGAAAUGCGUAGAUAUUAGGAGGAACACCAGUGGCGAAGGCGGCUUACUGGACGAUAACUGACGUUGAGGCUCGAAAGCGUGGGGAGCAAACAGGAUUAGAUACCCUGGUA
This 434-nucleotide ribosomal RNA is filed under the name uncultured Lachnospiraceae bacterium. RNAcentral's name for it is "partial 16S ribosomal RNA". It matches the Rfam family "Bacterial small subunit ribosomal RNA", at positions 341 to 792 of the family's 1533-position model. Lineage: Bacteria; Bacillati; Bacillota; Clostridia; Lachnospirales; Lachnospiraceae. The record is from RNAcentral.